Non-coding RNA from Cervus elaphus (red deer), 369 nucleotides. NCBI's taxonomy places the organism in Eukaryota, Metazoa, Chordata, Mammalia, Artiodactyla, Cervidae. The record is from the annotation of a RefSeq genome assembly.
AUGGGCUCCAGGCUCCUCUGCUGUGUGACUCUCUGCCUCCUCGGAUCAGGUCUGGUGGAUUCUGGAGUCACCCAGACCCCCAAGUACCUGAUCAAAUCAAGAAAGCAGCAGUCGACUCUGAGAUGUUCCCCUGAAUCUGGACACCGCUUUGUGUACUGGUACCAACAGGCCCUGGGCCAGGGCCCCCAGUUCCUCAUUCAGUAUUAUGAUGGGAAAGAGUAUCUAAAAGGAAACAUAUCGGAUCGAUUCUCAGUAAAACAGUUGAGUGGCUCUCGCUCUGAGCUGAACUUGGGCUCCUUGGAGCUGACGGACUCUGCCCUGUAUCUCUGUGCCAGCAGCCAAGACACAGCCCUGCAUGAUCAGGCCUAG